AAAGGAUAUUUAUCGUUCAUUUCGAGGAAAUACAUCUGCAGUAAGUGUCAUCAUAAAUACAAAGCUUCACUUAAAACAAUUGUAAAUUUGCAACACCAUAUACAAAAGUGAGACAAAUAUGUAGUAAAACUUCUAUAAACAAACCUACAAAAGCCUUAAAUCAAAGCAAUUAAUCUACAUGUCAUCCACUCAAGCUCAUUUUCCCCUAUAUCCAAAAAAAAAAUAAAAAUCCCAGCAGUACAACCCAAUCAUACCUACAUAUUACUCCCAGUGGCAUUCUCAAAGAUCUGAUCUUCUGAAUAUCGAUAUUUAUCAAGAAUUGGAAUAUCGAUGAUCAGAUUUUGCUAUGGAACCCAUUAAAACAACCAAAGGAAAUCAUUAGAAUAGUAAAAUAAAGCCUUUUAUUAACUUAAACAAUGACUGUUUGGCCACUGAGUACAUCCUGAAGCUGGAGAGACCCAUCCUUCAUUAGAUUAACACUUAAGCUUUUGAAUCUUUCUCUUGAGUAUUGUCGAGAUGCCUUUCUCCAAUCAGUUCCUGCCUUCAUCAUUCCUACAAACUCCUCGAAACUGAUUUGCCCAUCCUUGUCGGUAUCAACUUCGCGCAUGAUCUCAUUCACUACAUCAGUGUCGCAUGCUCCUGACUCGUCUGCUAAAGCUUCUCGUAGCUCAUCUAGCUCAAUAUAACCACUUCCAUCCUUGUCAAAGAACAUGAAUGCUCUACGAAAAUGCUCAUCAUUUUCCAUUCUCUGUAAGUGGAUUAUAACUGCUACAAACUCCCCAUAGUCCAGGACUCCGUUUCCAUCAACAUCAGCCACAUCCAUCAGCAACUUCAUCUCUGCUUCUGCCAACUGGGAACCAACUUUUCUAAGUCCAGUCUUUAAUUCAUCAUAUGUUAUUUUCCCAUCACCAUCAGAGUCCAUCAGUGCAAACAUCUCUCUAAUUACUUCAAUCUCUUCAAGUUUCAAGUGUUCAGCAAUGACCCGCAAUGCUUUCUUUUUGAAUCUAUUCAUGAUAGAAAAUUGCUUCAGUCGUGUCCUAACAAUAUCUCCCAGUGGAACAUUUGAAGCCUUUUUGGCAUUUUGAAUCCAGGGGUGAUCAAGGACCUGUUGGGCUGUCAACCGCUUCUUGGGGUCAGGUUCCAGCAUCUGUCUGACAAGACUUUUUGCCUUUUCAGAGACUUGAGGCCAUGGUUCCCUCUUGAAAUCUAUCACUCCCCUUAAAAUUGAAAGAGCAACUCCUUGUUCAGUUUCAGCCCAAAAUGGAGGAACCCCACAUAACAAAAUAUAAAGGAUGACACCAGCACUCCAAAUAUCAACUUCUGGUCCAUAAUUCCGCUUCAACACCUCUGGUGCCAUGUAGUAUGGACUUCCCACAAUCUCAGAGAAUCUUUCACCAGGCUUGAAAAAGACAGAUAGGCCAAAAUCGAUGGCCUUAAGAGCAGAAUGCUCUUUCUUAUUAGCAAACAGAAA
RNAcentral lists this unclassified non-coding RNA (1471 nucleotides) under Hevea brasiliensis (rubber tree). Lineage: Eukaryota; Viridiplantae; Streptophyta; Magnoliopsida; Malpighiales; Euphorbiaceae. The record is from RNAcentral.